RNAcentral lists this ribosomal RNA (253 nucleotides) under uncultured bacterium. RNAcentral's name for it is "partial 16S ribosomal RNA". It matches the Rfam family "Bacterial small subunit ribosomal RNA", at positions 524 to 776 of the family's 1533-position model. The record is from RNAcentral.
CACGUAGGGCGCGAGCGUUGUCCGGAAUUAUUGGGCGUAAAGAGCUCGUAGGCGGUCUGUCGCGUCGGCUGUGAAAACUCGGGGCUCAACCUCGAGCCUGCAGUCGAUACGGGCAGACUUGAGUGCUGUAGGGGAGACUGGAAUUCCUGGUGUAGCGGUGAAAUGCGCAGAUAUCAGGAGGAACACCGGUGGCGAAGGCGGGUCUCUGGGCCUUACCUGACGCUGAGGAGCGAAAGCGUGGGUAGCGAACAGG